UACCAUUUGCAUUAAAUGUCGACGAAAAUAUGCUAAAAUCCCUUUCGACUCUAUAUUCAGAACGACGUUGUCUUAGCACACCUUGGAUGUAAGAAGACACGGAUUCAGAUAUGAGUACGGGACUUUGAUUCGGAAAACAUCCCAACAGCAAUAAAAUGGCAUUUUGAGAUUCUACGUCUGGAUAUCUUCCAACAUACAUGCGGCCAAAAGAUUUGGAUAUAUCACUUAAAGAUCCCGCAAU
Molecule: non-coding RNA, 241 nt
Organism: Schizosaccharomyces pombe (fission yeast)
Lineage: Eukaryota; Fungi; Ascomycota; Schizosaccharomycetes; Schizosaccharomycetales; Schizosaccharomycetaceae
Source: the annotation of a GenBank genome assembly